This 330-nucleotide ribosomal RNA is filed under the name uncultured bacterium. Its description in RNAcentral is "bacterial SSU rRNA". It matches the Rfam family "Bacterial small subunit ribosomal RNA", at positions 568 to 898 of the family's 1533-position model. The record is from RNAcentral.
UUCGUAGGUGGUGCGGCAAGUUGGGAGUGAAAUCUCUGGGCUUAACUCAGAGGCUGCUUUCAAAACUGCCGUGCUCGAGUGCGAGAGAGGCCAGUGGAAUUGCAGGUGUAGCGGUGAAAUGCGUAGAUAUCUGCAGGAACACCCGUGGCGAAGGCGGCUGGCUGGAUCGCAACUGACACUGAGGAACGAAAGCUAGGGGAGCAAACAGGAUUAGAUACCCUGGUAGUCCUAGCCCUAAACCAUCAGGACUUGGGGUGGCUCGCGUAGGCGGGUCGUCCCGUAGCUAACGCGUUAAGUCCUGCGCCUGGGGAGUACGGUCGCAAGACUGAA